Molecule: long non-coding RNA, 451 nt
Filed under: Homo sapiens (human)
Lineage: Eukaryota; Metazoa; Chordata; Mammalia; Primates; Hominidae
Description: HSALNT0298839
Source: RNAcentral
CAAGAUUCUGGCUCCAAUGGCUCCCUAAAGAAGAACCCAUUCUGUAAAGUUCUGAGAGUUUUGAUUACUGAAGAUUCCACUCACUGAACUCCUUGUGUAUCAGAAAGUGAGAGAUUUUCUGUCUUCCUGGAAAACCCUUUAUUUAUCAAGGACUCCGCCAUCCUCUUAAGCUCCAAAGCUGCCUCUUCCUUCCCAGUCUCGGCACAGACACUGCUGACACGCCUCUGACCACGAGCAUGUGGCCAGGUCUCCAGAUCCAUGCCUAGCCCAAGGAUCUCAGGACAUAAUUUUCUCUACUUGGAGUUUGGUGAGAACUACGAAUUUCUUAACGUCAUAUUGACUGCUUAAAAUGAAAAAUCCUAAACCUGUGGAGGUCAAGGGUGAAAAGAAUUUUAAUUAUCUUAAAAUAAUGGAGAAAAGGAACAGUAGAGAUUUCAUGACUUUAGCUCCU